RNAcentral lists this ribosomal RNA (254 nucleotides) under uncultured bacterium. RNAcentral's name for it is "partial 16S ribosomal RNA". It matches the Rfam family "Bacterial small subunit ribosomal RNA", at positions 524 to 776 of the family's 1533-position model. The record is from RNAcentral.
UACGUAGGGGGCGAGCGUUGUCCGGAUUUAUUGGGCGUAAAGAGCUCGUAGGCGGUUCGAUAAGUCGGACGUGAAAUCUCCACGCUCAACGUGGAGGGGCCGUUCGAUACUGUCGUGACUCGAGUCCGGUAGGGGAGUGUGGAAUUCCCGGUGUAGCGGUGAAAUGCGCAGAGAUCGGGAGGAACACCCGUAGCGAAGGCGGCACUCUGGGCCGGUACUGACGCUGAGGAGCGAAAGCGUGGGGAGCAAACGGG